CACAUGCAAGUCGAGCGGAUGAAAGGAGCUUGCUCCUGGAUUCAGCGGCGGACGGGUGAGUAAUGCCUAGGAAUCUGCCUGGUAGUGGGGGACAACGUUUCGAAAGGAACGCUAAUACCGCAUACGUCCUACGGGAGAAAGCAGGGGACCUUCGGGCCUUGCGCUAUCAGAUGAGCCUAGGUCGGAUUAGCUAGUUGGUGAGGUAAUGGCUCACCAAGGCGACGAUCCGUAACUGGUCUGAGAGGAUGAUCAGUCACACUGGAACUGAGACACGGUCCAGACUCCUACGGGAGGCAGCAGUGGGGAAUAUUGGACAAUGGGCGAAAGCCUGAUCCAGCCAUGCCGCGUGUGUGAAGAAGGUCUUCGGAUUGUAAAGCACUUUAAGUUGGGAGGAAGGGUUGUAGAUUAAUACUCUGCAAUUUUGACGUUACCGACAGAAUAAGCACCGGCUAACUCUGUGCCAGCAGCCGCGGUAAUACAGAGGGUGCAAGCGUUAAUCGGAAUUACUGGGCGUAAAGCGCGCGUAGGUGGUUUGUUAAGUUGGAUGUGAAAUCCCCGGGCUCAACCUGGGAACUGCAUCCAAAACUGGCAAGCUAGAGUAUGGUAGAGGGUGGUGGAAUUUCCUGUGUAGCGGUGAAAUGCGUAGAUAUAGGAAGGAACACCAGUGGCGAAGGCGACCACCUGGACUGAUACUGACACUGA
RNAcentral lists this ribosomal RNA (702 nucleotides) under Pseudomonas sp. Its description in RNAcentral is "bacterial SSU rRNA". It matches the Rfam family "Bacterial small subunit ribosomal RNA", at positions 52 to 749 of the family's 1533-position model. Lineage: Bacteria; Pseudomonadati; Pseudomonadota; Gammaproteobacteria; Pseudomonadales; Pseudomonadaceae. The record is from RNAcentral.